RNAcentral lists this ribosomal RNA (404 nucleotides) under uncultured bacterium. RNAcentral's name for it is "partial 16S ribosomal RNA". It matches the Rfam family "Bacterial small subunit ribosomal RNA", at positions 28 to 526 of the family's 1533-position model. The record is from RNAcentral.
GACGAACGCUGGCGGCGUGCUUAACACAUGCAAGUCGAACAGUGGCGGACGGGUGAGUAAUGCUUGGGAAUCUAGCUUAUGGAGGGGGAUAACUACGGGAAACUGUAGCUAAUACCGCGUACCAUAGGAUGAGCCCAAGUGGGAUUAGGUAGUUGGUGAGGUAAAGGCUCACCAAGCCGACGAUCUCUAGCUGGUCUGAGAGGAUGACCAGCCACACUGGGACUGAGACACGGCCCAGACUCCUACGGGAGGCAGCAGUGGGGAAUAUUGCGCAAUGGGGGCAACCUGACGCAGCCAUGCCGCGUGAAUGAAGAAGGCCUUCGGGUUGUAAAGUUCUUUCGGUAGCGAGGCGUUAACUACAGAAGAAGCACCGGCUAACUCCGUGCCAGCAGCCGCGGUAAUAC